Molecule: transfer RNA, 72 nt
Filed under: Camelus bactrianus (Bactrian camel)
Lineage: Eukaryota; Metazoa; Chordata; Mammalia; Artiodactyla; Camelidae
Also listed under: 2 other names
Rfam family: tRNA
About the family: Transfer RNA (tRNA) molecules are approximately 80 nucleotides in length. Their secondary structure includes four short double-helical elements and three loops (D, anti-codon, and T loops).
Source: Rfam by way of RNAcentral
GCUGGUAUAGCUCAGUGGUAGAGUGCAUGCUUAGCAGGCACGAGGUCCUGGGUUCACUACCCAGUACCUCCU